RNAcentral lists this ribosomal RNA (336 nucleotides) under uncultured bacterium. RNAcentral describes it as "bacterial SSU rRNA". It matches the Rfam family "Bacterial small subunit ribosomal RNA", at positions 32 to 361 of the family's 1533-position model. The record is from RNAcentral.
AAUCAACGCUGGCGGCGUGCCUCAGACGUGCAAGUCGAACGAUUAAGACUCUCUUCGGAGAGUGCAUAAAGUGGCGCACGGGUGAGUAACACGUAAGUAAUCUACCUUUGGGUGGGAAGUAACAGUCGGAACGACUGCUAAUACCGCAUAAUGCAGCGGCUCCUUAUGGAGACAGUUGUUAAAGAUUUAUCGCCUAAAGAGGAGCUUGCGGCAGAUUAGCAGUUGGUAAGGUAACGGCUUACCAAGGCGACGAUCUGUAUCCGACCUGAGAGGGUGGUCGGGACACACUGACACUGAAUAACGGGUCAGACUCCUACGGGAGGCAGCAGUCGGGAA